GCCGCUGGAAGCGUCGCUCUGCCCCUGGGCUCAGGCUCAGCACCGCUCCGCCCGACAGGGGCAGCGCCCCGAGCCGAGACCGGGACCCUCCGCCCGACACACCCGGCCUGAGACCGGGACCUUCCGGCGCCCCGAGCCGAGACCGGGCCCCUCCGCCCGACACACCCGGCCUGAGACCGGGCCGCUCCGUCCAGCGCGCCUGGCCGGUACUAAACAGCACCCCGCGAGAGAAGCCAGUUGGAAGAAAUGACAAAAAUCAGCGAUUUCAGGGUACAGUGAGGGGUGGCAGUGGUCGUUACUCGAUAUAGCCCAGCAACAGCGUGUGAAACUUGUUGCUGAUCAACAAUUCUGUUUAGACGUGGGGGUGUUCUUCGACAAGCAUGCGCAUGUGUCAUGACCCCCUGAAACCUGCUCGCAACCCCCCUCAAGGGACCACAGACCCCUGGUGGAGAACCACAGCCGUAGAGGUUGUGAGGUGAUCAGAUAUUACAGUAGUGGGACCAGGUAAGUACCUAGGAUGGAUAUCUACCAUUGUCGUUUGCACUAUAGCUGCAGCUCUGUUGGUCCCAAGUGGACAGGGUGGGAACAUUUACCGUUGGACCAACUUCUGUUGCUGCGAGACAAGCGUUGGAGCUGACCACGAGCUCCGUGUGGCUCAGAAGCUUGGCUCUUUCACCAGCAGAAGUUGGUCCAAUAAAAGAUAUUCCCUCCCCCACCUUGUCUCCAGUGCAUUUCAGAUUCACUUCUGUGCACGUUAUAGUAAUCACAGUGGUAACAAGCUGAAGUAACAUUUAGUAACAAAUAGCCAUGACCAGGUCUGACCAUGACAUUGGCCACAUCCUCACUUGUUCACACACACACUUCGGAAACCACUUCACGUGGUUUUUUGGUGUAUCUGUCAUUUUGUCAGUGGCAGCCAGCCCCGUGUUCAGCACCAGCCUGGGACAGGGUCCCCAUCAGGGAAUGUGACCAGCGUGACUCAGGAACCCCACCCUGGGAGCCUCCUCCAGCUGGCCAACAAAAUUGUACACACUGUGUAUAGGGCUGGGCUGCAGACAACUCUGAUCUACACAGGGACACCGGUGGAGAAGAACAAUGCUGCAGCUGCAGCUCUGGGCUUGUCAGUCCUGAGAGAGAUGGGAGUGAAAAACUGAGAUUUUGAAAACCUAUCAUUAAGGGGAGGCAACCAGUGUUUCAGGAACACUUUGAUCAAAUGUCCUCCAACGUGCAGCAUAUUCUACCCUGGGCCAGGAAUUGGCAGAAGAUGGACUUGGAUUUUCGAGAGGUCACAAAUUUCAACUUUAAACAGAAACCAUGCUGCAGCUGCAACUACAACGAAUGAUUUUUCCAUCUUUAGUUUUACAAUAAUUGCUAGAAAUAUACUGUGAACUUGCAACUAACAUUUUUCAAGCACCGCUCAAUAAUAUUUAGCAAAAUCACCAAAUUUGUUUUAGUUAUUACUUAUAUUUAAUACCGCAGGGUAUCUUACUGUUUUUCCAAGAUCGGAAUAAAGUGCUAUUUCUCUCAUCUGGAAUAUAAAAAGAUUUAUUUUGCCACAAGUUUAGGUCAGUUAAAAAUGAACUUUUACAAAGCCAGAGUCACAUUUCCAUGGAAUAAAAAAUAAAAUUAAACAAGGGACAAGACUUAAAUGUUGCUGCUGCAGUGUUUGCAGCCCAAAUUAUGCUAGGACUGAGAACCAGGAAGUGACACUGACUAGAACCUGACUGUCACCAAGUGAAGGUAACAAGUCUGUUAAUUGUUCACACACUGAGAAACGCAGAGAGAGCAGGAAGUCAUCAGACUUAAAGCCCAGAUUGUGAAUGGCCCAAGUAGCUGCUGAGGGGUGAGCAAGAACUUGUUAGCCCCAGCCCCAGCCCCAGGGCAGCAGCACAAGAGCCUGCCCCCUUUACACGGGCUGGCAGAAUGGGGCUGGCACAGGGGAAGCAGCAAUCUGCUCCCCCCAAUGAACGGAGCAGACUGCACUCUCGGCACUAUGACAGAUUGCGCCUCUCUGCUGCAGGCUCUCUCCAGAGCACCUCCUAGAGCAGUGCCACUCUACCAUGCCCUGACUUCAGGCCCUGCCUUCAAAUCACAAGUGUUUUCCCCUUUUAUUCACUGCAGAUGUAUUUCUCACAUAGGCAAAGAAAUGAUUUUUCCUGUCUGGCUGCACA
Gopherus evgoodei (Goodes thornscrub tortoise) is the source of this 2171-nucleotide long non-coding RNA. RefSeq lists it as uncharacterized. NCBI's taxonomy places the organism in Eukaryota, Metazoa, Chordata, Testudines, Testudinidae. The record is from RefSeq and is a predicted model, not a curated record. The transcript is spliced from 4 exons.